RNAcentral lists this non-coding RNA (26 nucleotides) under Cricetulus griseus (Chinese hamster). The record is from RNAcentral. Lineage: Eukaryota; Metazoa; Chordata; Mammalia; Rodentia; Cricetidae.
UUCCUGUUAGAACAUGUUAUUCAAGG